UACAGAGGGUGCGAGCGUUGUUCGGAAUUAUUGGGCGUAAAGGGCGCGUAGGCGGUGCGGUAAGUCACCUGUGAAAUCUCCUGGCUCAACUGGGAGCUUGCAGGCGAAACUGCCGUGCUGGAGUGUGGGAGAGGUGCGUGGAAUUCCCGGUGUAGCGGUGAAAUGCGUAGAUAUCGGAAGGAACGUCAAUGGCGAAGGCAGCUACCUGGCUUGAUACUGACGCUGAGGCACGAAAGCGUGGGGAGCGAACAGG
RNAcentral lists this ribosomal RNA (253 nucleotides) under uncultured bacterium. RNAcentral's name for it is "partial 16S ribosomal RNA". It matches the Rfam family "Bacterial small subunit ribosomal RNA", at positions 524 to 776 of the family's 1533-position model. The record is from RNAcentral.